GAAAAAAAGUAUGUAACAAAAGACAGAGAAUAUCAGCUAUUUGAAAGUUUAUCUUUUAAGCAGUUCUGCUUUCCAAAAAAUGUUUCUUAAUUUAUUUUAUUUUAAUAAUGGAUGUUGUAUGUGGCAUUUUGCCUUCCAUUUUCAUUCUUAUUUGGCAUCCACUUAAUAUGCAGCUUGAAACAAUCAAAACUUGUUUUUCAGAUAUUUCGGAUCUCCCCUCACAUGUCAUUUCAAAAGCAGGGUCACAAACAAGGAGGGAAAAUGCAGUCCAAUCCUUAUAAGCUGAAAAAGUAUGUGUGCUUUGGACCAGUACCAGCACGCAAUUAUUCCACAACACAGUCCACCCAUCACUGGUCCUGGCGACCGACGAGAUGAAAAGAGCAGGUUUAAGACUGAAUUUAUGGUAUGUGUGGAUGGCUCAGCUGAGGCGAAUGGAGGAGCUGUGUGAAGAGCAGACAACGAGCUGAGGAUAAUCUUUGGAAGGCCGAUUUAGAAAUAAUGAGAUUGCUGAAUGAGAUCAGCACAGAUCCAACGAUGCGGUGAGGAGAAUGGAUAAACCAAUCAUAGAGCCCAUUAAAGUCACACCUGGAGAGAAGACAACAGGUCUCAAUUACCAACUACUGAAUUACCAGCAUACUGAAACGUCAGAGACAUUGAGGAUAUGCUAGUGAGGAAAACUCUUAUGUAAAGCUAAUUAAAUGUUUAAAAUGCAUUUCAGUACAGACACUUCAAGAGGAUUUCAGAGCAUCUUGUUUUACCAUGCUUAAGUGGCAACCGCAGAGAAAACAUUUCAGAUAAUGUUCAAUCACACUGUAGCAUUUGCUCUGGUACAGUAUGUGCCAAUAAAAAAGAAGAAACACAAACAUACACACACACACAGUUAUUUGGCCAUUUCUGUGUAUAUGGUUUUUAAAUACAUUUUGUAGGUUCUUGACGAUAGAACUUGGAGAUUAUGGAAACAAAUGUUGUUUAUGUGGGUCAGUGCAUCCAUAUAAACAAGGAUCAAUGAAAAAUUAAGUCUGAAAUCAUAAAAAUGAGUUUUUAAUAAUUAGACACAAAUGCAAGGUUCUAAGAAAGUUUUUAUUUUUUCAAUUGAUUUUUUUUUUUUCAAUUGAUUGGUUUUGUACAUUUUUACUAAAAAUGUAGCAUAAGCAAGUAAAGAUUGCAAACAAAAAUUAUAUAUAUAUAUUUGAUGAUUGCUUUGAUUUUUCAUACAAUCUCUGGAAAGUUGCAACACAAAUUCAAGUAAGCCGCACAAAUUCAAUUCUAAUUAAUUUCAAAAUCCAAACUAAUUUCAAUUUAGCAUUUGAAAACAGCUUAUAAGAGGUUAUUUUUGUAUAAAUAGCAUUUCAUAUGUAUUUUUAGAUGGAGGCAAACAAAUUUGUGUCAAAUCAUUGACCCUGUAUAUGUAGGCCUGCAGAAGUUCACAGGUAUUGAUCUGAGCAGGUAUACGUGAUGUUCGUGCAGCCCUCACUACCUGCAGUUCUUUUUAAAGAGCUGACGUACUGCUGGCCUGACCCAUCCAGUAACAACAUGCUUCAGGGUCCUCUCAGCAGCCGAAAGCGCGAGUGCUCCAAACAGCUCGAUCAAAGAUGAAACACUAUCAUCAUAUUCAAAUUGGUAGAUUUGUGUUUUGAGACAUGACUCAUAGGGCAUGAAUAAACUACGAAAAGCUUUAAAACAUCUGAAUCAACACCGUUGCUACUAACUACUGCUGUUAUGUCCAUAAAUUCACAAGACACAUAUGUUGAUCUUCUAUGGCUCAUUGACAGGUCUCCCACAAAUUGAAACAGUUAUACAUAGUUAGACACGGUUGCCAAAAUAGCAUCUUCUGUUCACCACUCACAGACCAUACAAACCUGAAUGCAUUCGCAAGAAAUAAAUCAUCAAGAAACAUGAUAAAUGACCAAAAAAAAACAUUUUCUUCAGCUGCAGCAAAAAAAAAAAAAAAAUGGUCAGGUCAAAAAGUAACAUAUGAAUCAGUAAUUGAUGUGCGUUUUGAAAGUUCCUUACAAAUAUGGAGGUGCUGGAGGCACAGUCACUGUGUACCGCCCAUUACCUUAAGUUUGUUACCAUGUGUUCAAUAUUAGAUUUCUCCUAUGAUGGUCCAGUGAAGGGAGCUGUACUGCUUGAAACUCAUGCAUCAUUAAUCAAAGCUCCUAUUUCAGUACAAAAUAUUUGAGUAGGACCCUAGCAGGAUUGUUUUUGGAAUAACAUUUAGAGAAAAACUCAAUUAAAGGUUAAUGUGAAACUUGUUUUAUAGGCUUUAAUAAAAAGUUAUGUCAGAAAACACUGAUAUUAGACACGAACCAAAAGAGGCAUAUAAAAGUUACGUAAUAGCAUGCAUUGCACAUAUGGUGAAACAAUGGUGUUAUUGAGAGUCAGCAAGGUUAACAAACCAAAAACAUUACCAACAAAACCAGCAGUGGACCAGAAUUGCAUUCAUGCAGAUAUAAACCAGACUUUUCAGCAGGGUGGUAAAUUUGCAUAGCAAAUAUCAAAUACACAUUAAAAUGUAAAAAUGAAUUUAAAAAAUAACAUAUGUACAUUUAAAAUAUAAAAGUUCACAUAUAAAUAUGUGCAUACACACCCACACACACUUUUAUUAAAAUCCCAGUUUGAACUUUUGAACACUGGGGUCAAGUAAAUGUUGUAUGUUUUAGUCACUGCACCAGAGCUCAGUGGUUGAUUUCACAUUAUGCCAUGACGACA
Cyprinus carpio carpio is the source of this 2712-nucleotide long non-coding RNA. The record is from Ensembl. NCBI's taxonomy places the organism in Eukaryota, Metazoa, Chordata, Actinopteri, Cypriniformes, Cyprinidae.